This 1440-nucleotide ribosomal RNA is filed under the name uncultured organism. RNAcentral's name for it is "SSU rRNA". It matches the Rfam family "Bacterial small subunit ribosomal RNA". The record is from RNAcentral.
GAACGCUAGCUACAGGCUUAACACAUGCAAGUCGAGGGGCAGCAUUUUAGUUUGCUUGCAAACUGAAGAUGGCGACCGGCGCACGGGUGAGUAACACGUAUCCAACCUACCGAUAACUCCGGAAUAGCCUUUCGAAAGAAAGAUUAAUACCGGAUAGCAUACGAAUAUCGCAUGAUAUUUUUAUUAAAGAAUUUCGGUUAUCGAUGGGGAUGCGUUCCAUUAGUUUGUUGGCGGGGUAACGGCCCACCAAGACUACGAUGGAUAGGGGUUCUGAGAGGAAGGUCCCCCACAUUGGAACUGAGACACGGUCCAAACUCCUACGGGAGGCAGCAGUGAGGAAUAUUGGUCAAUGGGCGAGAGCCUGAACCAGCCAAGUAGCGUGAAGGAUGAAGGCUCUAUGGGUCGUAAACUUCUUUUAUAUGGGAAUAAAGUUUUCCACGUGUGGAAUUUUGUAUGUACCAUAUGAAUAAGGAUCGGCUAACUCCGUGCCAGCAGCCGCGGUAAUACGGAGGAUCCGAGCGUUAUCCGGAUUUAUUGGGUUUAAAGGGAGCGUAGGUGGAUUGUUAAGUCAGUUGUGAAAGUUUGCGGCUCAACCGUAAAAUUGCAGUUGAAACUGGCAGUCUUGAGUACAGUAGAGGUGGGCGGAAUUCGUGGUGUAGCGGUGAAAUGCUUAGAUAUCACGAAGAACUCCGAUUGCGAAGGCAGCUCACUAGACUGUCACUGACACUGAUGCUCGAAAGUGUGGGUAUCAAACAGGAUUAGAUACCCUGGUAGUCCACACAGUAAACGAUGAAUACUCGCUGUUUGCGAUAUACAGUAAGCGGCCAAGCGAAAGCAUUAAGUAUUCCACCUGGGGAGUACGCCGGCAACGGUGAAACUCAAAGGAAUUGACGGGGGCCCGCACAAGCGGAGGAACAUGUGGUUUAAUUCGAUGAUACGCGAGGAACCUUACCCGGGCUUAAAUUGCAACAGAAUAUAUUGGAAACAGUAUAGCCGUAAGGCUGUUGUGAAGGUGCUGCAUGGUUGUCGUCAGCUCGUGCCGUGAGGUGUCGGCUUAAGUGCCAUAACGAGCGCAACCCUUAUCUUUAGUUACUAACAGGUUAUGCUGAGGACUCUAGAGAGACUGCCGUCGUAAGAUGUGAGGAAGGUGGGGAUGACGUCAAAUCAGCACGGCCCUUACGUCCGGGGCUACACACGUGUUACAAUGGGGGGUACAGAAGGCGGCUACCUGGUGACAGGAUGCUAAUCCCAAAAACCUCUCUCAGUUCGGAUCGAAGUCUGCAACCCGACUUCGUGAAGCUGGAUUCGCUAGUAAUCGCGCAUCAGCCAUGGCGCGGUGAAUACGUUCCCGGGCCUUGUACACACCGCCCGUCAAGCCAUGAAAGCCGGGGGUACCUGAAGUACGUAACCGCAAGGAGCGUCCUAGGGUAAAACUGGUAA